RNAcentral lists this ribosomal RNA (565 nucleotides) under uncultured bacterium. RNAcentral's name for it is "bacterial SSU rRNA". It matches the Rfam family "Archaeal small subunit ribosomal RNA", at positions 339 to 901 of the family's 1478-position model. The record is from RNAcentral.
GCGCGAAAACUCCGCAAUGCGCGAAAGCGUGACGGGGGAACCCCAAGUGCCGUUGGUCUUUUGAUCGACGGCUUUUCGGAAGUCUAGGAAGCUUCUGGAAUAAGGGCUGGGCAAGUCUGGUGCCAGCCGCCGCGGUAAUACCAGCAGCCCAAGUGGUGGUCACGUUUAUUGGGCCUAAAGCGCUCGUAGCCGGGUCUGUAAGUCCCUUGUGAAAUCGGACGGCUCAACCGUUCGGCUUGCAAGGGAGACUGCUAGCCUUGGAACCGGGAGAGGUCGGGGGUACUUCGGGGGUAGCGGUGAAAUGCUGUAAUCCCUGGGGGACCACCAGUGGCGAAGGCGCCCGGCCAGAACGGAUUCGACGGUGAGGGGCGAAGGCUGGGGGAGCGAACGGGAUUAGAUACCCCGGUAGUCCCAGCUGUAAAGGAUGCGGGCUGGGUGUCAGGUGCCCUUCGAGAGCACCUGGUGCCGUAGGGAAGCCGUUAAGCCCGCCGCCUGGGAAGUACGGUCGCAAGGCUGAAACUUAAAGAAAUUGGCGGGGGAGCACCACAAGGGGGUGGACCGUGUC